Molecule: long non-coding RNA, 1215 nt
Filed under: Apteryx haastii (Great spotted kiwi)
Lineage: Eukaryota; Metazoa; Chordata; Aves; Apterygiformes; Apterygidae
Description: lncRNA (ENSAHAG00000017400.1)
Source: RNAcentral
AUGCGUGGAGCGGGACUGCCGCUAGACACACCAGAGGCCUCCGCACCGAGCCCCCAGCCCCGGGGCUCGGCCCCGCGCCCGCAGGACGCUGCUGCCCGCCACGGAGCUCCCCCGCGCGCCCCGCUCACCCCUCCGGAGCCCGCUCGGCUGCAGGAGGGGGCUCAUCCCGCACAGACUCAGCCCCGCACCCACGGGAUGCCGCUGCUCGCCGCGGAGCUCCCCCGCGCGCCCCGCUCACCCCUCCGGAGCCCGCUYGGCUGCGGGAGGGGGCUCAUCCCGCACGGACUCGGCCCCAAACCCUGCCAGCGCCCCGCUCUCCGCAGCGGCCACCACCUGGCCCCGAACAGCAUCCAUGUGCCCGCCACCCCCGCGGGCCAGGCCCCCACGCCACACCACGCCGCCUCCCGAUGCCCUCCGGCCCCGCGGAGGCUUCGUCCCCCUGACGGCUCCCUCCCCCCAGCGGCACCCCCGUCGGCACGCCCCGCAGGACUCACCUCCGCCGGGGCCUGGCUGCGCGGCACCGGGCGUCCCGCAGCCCUCGCUUCUCCUGCCCGGCCUCGGCCUGCGGGGCCUCCCUCGCCCCUGCCGGCGUCUUCACCAAACGCUUCACCCCGAAGCGCGCCUCAUAGCAGCCCUUUCCUCGCCCCGGGAGCUGCACGGGCAGCGGCCCUCUGGCCCCCCCAAAACAGGCCCCCGCCCCGGCCAGCUGCAGCCCCUGCGGCUGAUUGCAGGGCCCGAAAGGAGAAGCACCUGCGGGCCAGCAGGGCCAGCCCGUCGGACCUGCUGGGGAGAACACACAUGACAAUAAUAAUGAAAAUAGAGACCAGCGGGGCACUUAGACCGACACAGAAGCAGGGGGACAGCUGUCUUUGCCCAGUCUUUUGCUUUUGGCAGGGGAAAAGCUUCCACCGUAUCUCCUCAGCCGUUCGUGGUGCCUCUUGCCCACGYGCUCCGUCAGCUCCCUGCCCAGCACCUCCGGGCACCGCGGUCACGGAGGGUCAGCGGUUACGUCUCUGGCACGGUAUCAGCUACGUGACUGUCUAUUUAAGGCAAAAGAAAAUUGAGGGAGCUCAGAGAUGUGUGCGAUCUGGGGCAAAACAACACAGUAAAUAUCCCCUGGGCAGCAGCCACACCAUUAAACAUUUAUGCUGUGGAUUUUCACCUCUCCUCAGCAUGAAAGAGGUUACUGCGGUCAGAUUACUGCCCAGGUGCUAA